Molecule: ribosomal RNA, 253 nt
Filed under: uncultured prokaryote
Description: partial 16S ribosomal RNA
Rfam family: Bacterial small subunit ribosomal RNA
Source: RNAcentral
ACGAACCGUGCAAACGUUAUUCGGAUUCACUGGGCUUAAAGGGCGCGUAGGCGGGUGAUCAAGUCAGGGGUGAAAUCCUCCAGCUUAACUGGAGCAGUGCCUUUGAUACUGGUCGUCUUGAGGGAGGUAGGGGCAUGUGGAACUUCCGGUGGAGCGGUGAAAUGCGUAGAUAUCGGAAGGAACGCCGGUGGCGAAAGCGACGUGCUGGAUCUCUUCUGACGCUGAGGCGCGAAAGCCAGGGUAGCGAACGGGA